UACGUAGGUGGCAAGCGUUGUCCGGAUUUACUGGGCGUAAAGAGCGCGCAGGCGGUCGUUCAAGUCGCGUGUGAAAGCCCCCGGCUCAACUGGGGAGGGUCACGCGAUACUGAUCGACUCGAAGGCAGGAGAGGGUAGUGGAAUUCCCGGUGUAGUGGUGAAAUGCGUAGAUAUCGGGAGGAACACCAGUGGCGAAGGCGGCAUCCUGGACCGGUAUUGACACUGAGGCGCGAAAGCCAGGGGAGCAAACGGG
This 253-nucleotide ribosomal RNA is filed under the name uncultured bacterium. RNAcentral's name for it is "partial 16S ribosomal RNA". It matches the Rfam family "Bacterial small subunit ribosomal RNA", at positions 524 to 776 of the family's 1533-position model. The record is from RNAcentral.